This is a non-coding RNA of Colletotrichum navitas, 97 nucleotides long. Lineage: Eukaryota; Fungi; Ascomycota; Sordariomycetes; Glomerellales; Glomerellaceae. The record is from the annotation of a RefSeq genome assembly.
GGUCGGUUAGCUCAGUUGGUUAGAGCGUGGUACUAAUAUAUGAGAUCGGAUAUAUCAAGUAAUGCCAAGGCCGGGAGUUCAAGCCUCCCACUGAUCA